Molecule: long non-coding RNA, 1565 nt
Organism: Antechinus flavipes (yellow-footed antechinus)
Lineage: Eukaryota; Metazoa; Chordata; Mammalia; Dasyuromorphia; Dasyuridae
Exons: 2
Source: RefSeq, a predicted model, not a curated record
GGAAGGAAGGAAGGAAGGAAGGAAGGAAGGAAGGAAGGAAGGAAGGAAGGAAGGAAGGAAGAGAGAGACAAACAGACCGAGACAGAAAGAGAAGCCACAGGUCCUUUUCAAAAAGUACCUGUUAGAACUGGGCAAGAUUUCCAGUCUUCCCUUGGAUAACAACAACUCUCAUUUCUAAGCUUUUAAUUUCUUUUUUUCUCUUUUUCCCCUCAUUUUUUCCAUUUCUAUGCUUUAAUGUUUAUGAAGCACAUUCUUAAUCACAACCGUGUAAGAUCAUCAGGUACAGGUAUUGUUAUCACCAUUUUGGAGAUGAGGAUCCUAAGGCUGAGAGAAAUAAAAUAUAAUAGAACUUAAAGCCAGAAAGGAUCUUAGAAACUGUUUAGUCAAGUCAGUCAAUAAGCAUUUAUUGAGCACUUACAAUGUGCCAGGCAUUGUACUAAGCCCUGGAGAUACAAAGAGGCAAAUGACAGUUGUUGGUUUUGAUGGGCUGGCUCACAGUAUAAUGCAGAGGUCCUCAAACUAUGGCCCACAGCCAGAUGCAGCAGCUGAGGACGAUUAUCCCCCUCACCCAGGGCUAUGAAGUUUCUUUAUUUAAAAGUCCACAAAACAAAAUUUUUAUUUUUACUAUAGUCCGGCCCUCCAACAGUCUGAGGGACGUGAACUGGCCCCCUAUUUAAAAAAUUUGAGGACCCCUGAUUUUGAGGGAGACAAUAUUUAAAAAAGAAAAAAGUAUAAAUAAGCUACUUACAGGGUAUUUAGAAAAGAAGAGAGGGACGGUGCUAGUAUUAGUCCAGACAUCCUUUAUCUGGAGUCCAUGGACACCCAAGGAGUUUAUGGGGAGAUUUCAAGGAGUCCGUGAACUUGGAACUUGGAACUUUUCCUAUUUUGACAACUAUAUUCCAGUAUCAUCUGUUUCCUUGCUAAUCCUGUGUAUUUUAUUUUAUGCAUUUAAAAACAUGGUUUUGAGAAAAGAUCUAGGGAUCCCUCUGAGAAGAUGGGAUUCACCAGCUGGCCAAAGGAUCCCUGGUCUAAUCCAAACUUUUUGUUUUAUAGAUGAGAAAGCAGGCCGAGGCAGUUAACAGUGACUUGCCCAGGAUUACACACUGCAGCAGGGGCACAUGGCUGAUGGCAGGCGUCCUCCGGCUCCCCAAGGAAGAGCUCACAGUUGAAAAGCAACGAUGGCAGUCAGCCCAAGAGAACCAGAAGACUGGGAACAUCCUGUUUUUGAAGAGGAUCCCAUCACUUUCACUUCCUCCAAUGACAGGGAAGGGGAGGCGGGACCUGGCAAAGGCAGCCGAUGUGGUCAUAGCUGGGUAAAAAAAAAAAAAAAAAAAAAAAACAGCAAAAAGAAAUAGAUUGGAAAAGAAAUGGCAGUCUUUCCCUUUCUGACAAGCAAACGACUCCUUUCCCCCUCCUUUCUCACCCAACUCCACCCCCAGAAGUCUGCACAAAGAUGGUGUUCAGGGGAAGGGCAUUUUUGAAAUUCCCUCAUUCUGCUUUGACCUCAUAGUGUUAAUAGUGCGAUUCAUUUCUGUCUGAAUAAAGGGGAAGCAUUUUAAAUGUCA